This 430-nucleotide ribosomal RNA is filed under the name Bacteroidota bacterium. RNAcentral describes it as "Bacteroidetes bacterium partial 16S ribosomal RNA". It matches the Rfam family "Bacterial small subunit ribosomal RNA", at positions 355 to 776 of the family's 1533-position model. The record is from RNAcentral. Lineage: Bacteria; Pseudomonadati; Bacteroidota.
UAGGGAAUCUUCGGCAAUGGGGGGAACCCUGACCGAGCAACGCCGCGUGAGUGAAGAAGGUUUUCGGAUCGUAAAGCUCUGUUGUUAAGGAAGAACGAGUGUGAGAAUGGAAAGUUCAUGCUGUGACGGUACUUAACCAGAAAGGGACGGCUAACUACGUGCCAGCAGCCGCGGUAAUACGUAGGUCCCGAGCGUUGUCCGGAUUUAUUGGGCGUAAAGCGAGCGCAGGCGGUUAGAAAAGUCUGAAGUGAAAGGCAGUGGCUCAACCGGGGAGGGUCAUUGGAACCUGGUUGACUUGAGUGCAGAGGAGGAGGGUGGAAUUCCAUGUGUAGCGGUGAAAUGCGUAGAUAUAUGGGGGAACACCAGUGGCGAAGGCGACUCUCUGGUCUGUAACUGACGCUGAGGCUCGAAAGCGUGGGUAGCAAACAGG